UUCGCAAUGCCCGAAAGGGUGACGAAGCGACGCCGCGUGGGUGAGGAAGGCCUUCGGGUUGUAAAGCCCUGUCAGGAGUUAAGAAAUGUAAGUGUGCUAAUAUCGCAUUUACUUGACGAAGGCUCCAAAGGAAGUCACGGCUAACUCUGUGCCAGCAGCCGCGGUAAUACAGAGGUGGCAAGCGUUGUUCGGAAUUAUUGGGCGUAAAGAGCACGUAGGUGGGUUUGUAAGUCAGAUGUGAAAGCCUCCUGUUCAACGGGAGAAUUGCAUCUGAAACUACUGAUCUUGAAUAUAGGAGGGGAGAAUGGAACUUCUGGUGGAGCGGUGAAAUGCGUAGAUAUCAGAAGGAACGCCGGCGGCGAAAGCGAUUCUCUGGCCUAUUACUGACACUCAGUGUGCGAAAGCUAGGGGAGCAAACGGGAUUAGAUACCCCGGUAGUCCUAGCCGUAAACGAUGGGCACUAAGUAGAGGGGUUUU
RNAcentral lists this ribosomal RNA (477 nucleotides) under Candidatus Scalindua brodae. RNAcentral describes it as "bacterial SSU rRNA". It matches the Rfam family "Bacterial small subunit ribosomal RNA", at positions 365 to 832 of the family's 1533-position model. Lineage: Bacteria; Pseudomonadati; Planctomycetota; Candidatus Brocadiia; Candidatus Brocadiales; Candidatus Scalinduaceae. The record is from RNAcentral. RNAcentral also lists the same sequence under 1 other name.